GAUGAACGCUAGCGGCAGGCUUAACACAUGCAAGUCGAGGGGUAACAUAGAAAAGCUUGCUUUUCUGAUGACGACCGGCGCACGGGUGCGUAACGCGUAUACAACCUACCUUUUAGCGGGGAAUAGCCCAGGGAAACUUGGAUUAAUGCCCCAUAGUAUAUAGACUUCUCCUGAAGUUUAUAUUAAACAUUUAUGGCUAUUAGAUGGGUAUGCGUCCUAUUAGUUAGUUGGUAAGGUAACGGCUUACCAAGGCAGCGAUAGGUAGGGGUCCUGAGAGGGAGAUCCCCACACUGGUACUGAGACACGGACCAGACUCCUACGGGAGGCAGCAGUGAGGAAUAUUGGACAAUGGGCGAGAGCCUGAUCCAGCCAUGCCGCGUGCAGGAAGACUGCCCUAUGGGUUGUAAACUGCUUUUACAGAGGAAGAACCACCCCACGUGUGGGGGUUUGACGGUACUCUGCGAAUAAGGAUCGGCUAACUCCGUG
This 486-nucleotide ribosomal RNA is filed under the name uncultured bacterium. RNAcentral's name for it is "bacterial SSU rRNA". It matches the Rfam family "Bacterial small subunit ribosomal RNA", at positions 28 to 507 of the family's 1533-position model. The record is from RNAcentral.